CAUUUGCAGUCUCCCAUAACUGCGUCGGGGGUUUUGGAGCUCCGGCCCAAGCCUUCGUCUAUACCCUUGUCUUUUGCGCACUUAUGUUUCCUCGGUGGGCUUGCCUGCCGAUAGGACACCCCAAAACUCUUUUUAAUUUUCAAUCAGCGUCUGAAAAAACCUAAUAAUUA
Molecule: unclassified non-coding RNA, 170 nt
Filed under: uncultured Ascomycota
Lineage: Eukaryota; Fungi; Ascomycota
Description: sequence contains ITS1
Source: RNAcentral